RNAcentral lists this ribosomal RNA (253 nucleotides) under uncultured bacterium. RNAcentral describes it as "partial 16S ribosomal RNA". It matches the Rfam family "Bacterial small subunit ribosomal RNA", at positions 524 to 776 of the family's 1533-position model. The record is from RNAcentral.
UACGUAGGUGGCAAGCGUUAUCCGGAUUUAUUGGGCGUAAAGGGAACGCAGGCGGUCUUUUAAGUCUGAUGUGAAAGCCUUCGGCUUAACCGGAGUAGUGCAUUGGAAACUGGGAGACUUGAGUGCAGAAGAGGAGAGUGGAACUCCAUGUGUAGCGGUGAAAUGCGUAGAUAUAUGGAAGAACACCAGUGGCGAAAGCGGCUCUCUGGACUGUAACUGACGCUGAGGUUCGAAAGCGUGGGUAGCAAACAGG